RNAcentral lists this ribosomal RNA (107 nucleotides) under Phycisphaerales bacterium. The record is from RNAcentral. Lineage: Bacteria; Pseudomonadati; Planctomycetota; Phycisphaerae; Phycisphaerales.
GUCGGUGACCAGAGGCAAGGGGUGACACCUGUUCCCAUUCCGAACACAGCAGUUAAGCCCUUGCCGCCGAUGAUACUGCUCAGUGGGAAAGUAGGUUAUCGCCGACU